Long non-coding RNA from Camelus dromedarius (Arabian camel), 485 nucleotides. RefSeq lists it as uncharacterized. The record is from RefSeq and is a predicted model, not a curated record. Lineage: Eukaryota; Metazoa; Chordata; Mammalia; Artiodactyla; Camelidae. The transcript is spliced from 2 exons.
CUCAUGGGACUGUGAGGAUUACACAGACCUGUCAAUCUAGUCUUGUAAUGGGCCCUUGAGUGCUUGAUAAAGGUGUUCACUUUCCAAAAAGUGGGCAGAGGAUGGCAAAGGAGUUCAUGUGAGCAGAUUCCGAACUGCAUAGUAUAAUAAGGAAGCCAGUAAGCACAUGGGACUAUUGAGCGCUUGAAAUGCGGCCAGUCCAAAUGAGGUGUGCUCUAAGUAGAAAGACACAUUGCAGUUUGAAGACUUGGCAUGAAAAAAGGAUGCUGAAAAUGAAUCUCAGAAUUGUUAAAUAGUUUACCAAAGAUGGAAACUAUGGAGAAGUGGAAGAGUCAUAUGAGACAUGGUGAAUACAUAUGUUUCAUUGGAAUUCCAGAAGAUGAGAGAGAAGAAAAUGGAGCAGAAGCCACAUUUGAAGUGACUUUCCAAAUAUAAUGAAAGACACCACGUGUAAUUAACCAAUAAAGUGAACCCAAAGAAAACCA